AGUGAACGCUGGCGGUAGGCCUAACACAUGCAAGUCGAACGGCAGCACAGUAAGAGCUUGCUCUUACGGGUGGCGAGUGGCGGACGGGUGAGGAAUACAUCGGAAUCUGCUUUUUCGUGGGGGAUAACGUAGGGAAACUUACGCUAAUACCGCAUACGACCUACGGGUGAAAGCAGGGGAUCUUCUGACCUUGCGCGAUUGAAUGAGCCGAUGUCGGAUUAGCUAGUUGGCGGGGUAAGGCCCACCAAGGCGACGAUCCGUAGCUGGUCUGAGAGGAUGAUCAGCCACACUGGAACUGAGACACGGUCCAGACUCCUACGGGAGGCAGCAGUGGGGAAUAUUGGACAAUGGGCGCAAGCCUGAUCCAGCCAUACCGCGUGGGUGAAGAAGGCCUUCGGGUUGUAAAGCCCUUUUGUUGGGAAAGAAAAGCAGCAGGUUAAUACCCCGCUGUUCUGACGGUACCCAAAGAAUAAGCACCGGCUAACUUCGUG
RNAcentral lists this ribosomal RNA (491 nucleotides) under uncultured bacterium. Its description in RNAcentral is "partial 16S ribosomal RNA". It matches the Rfam family "Bacterial small subunit ribosomal RNA", at positions 29 to 507 of the family's 1533-position model. The record is from RNAcentral.